GAUCAUUCAUUAUAAUGAUCGGUUGGUCGUGGCCAUCGUCGUCGGAUUUUGUAUCUUUUUUUUUGAUCAUUAUUAAAUAUUCAACAAUCUAAACAUUUAAUGGCUAAUGAAGAACAGGAUUUGAUCAUUCAAGUUCAUUUAAAUAGUUUUGAAAAUUUUUUUUUCUUUGUCAUCAUGCUUGAUAUGAUAUAUGAGAUUCAUAUGGUGAUUCAUUGAAUGGCCAAUGACCAAUGGUUAAUGAUGACCAAACAAACAAAGAAAUGAAGAAAAAAAACAUGAUAAUUAAGAAACCAUAAUAGAUUUCGCAGAAAAAACUGGUCGUUCAGUGUAUGUUGGAUUCCACAAGUCCACCACAAUCAUCUGCUUAUGGCCUUUUCCAUUCCGGUUUUUUGAUCAUCAUCAUCAUCAUAAUGAUUAUUUUCGGUGACAUUACAUACAACUCUCACACACAUACAGAUGAUGAUUGUUGCAACAAAUGGAAAAAUUCUCCCAAUGAUUAAAACAAAAGCAAGUAAACAAAAACGAAAUAAUAAAAUGAGAUUAAUCAUCAUCACGAAUGAGAAUCACAUGAAAAAAAGCUACCAUCAUGAAUGAAUGAAUGAAUGCUGAGAAUCAAAUCAUCAAUUUACCGUAUACCGACGAACUAUAUGUAAUCAAUGAGCCGCCAAAUUUCGAUUCUAUUCGAUUUAUCAAUUAUUAUUUGUUUGACAAAACGAAAACAACAGCAAUUUCGACAUACGAAUCAAUGACACUUGUUGAUUUUUUUUGGUGUAAGAAAGAAACAAACGCUAUCAUCAUCAUCAUCAUCAUGCUUAU
This is a long non-coding RNA of Dermatophagoides farinae (American house dust mite), 816 nucleotides long. RefSeq lists it as uncharacterized. NCBI's taxonomy places the organism in Eukaryota, Metazoa, Arthropoda, Arachnida, Sarcoptiformes, Pyroglyphidae. The record is from RefSeq and is a predicted model, not a curated record.